Molecule: non-coding RNA, 27 nt
Filed under: Mus musculus (house mouse)
Lineage: Eukaryota; Metazoa; Chordata; Mammalia; Rodentia; Muridae
Source: RNAcentral
GCUGAGCCAGGUCAUCCCCAUGAUCCA